GGGUGAGUAAUGUAUCGGAACGUGCCCAGUUGUGGGGGAUAACUGCUCGAAAGAGCAGCUAAUACCGCAUACGACCUGAGGGUGAAAGCGGGGGAUCGCAAGACCUCGCGCAAUUGGAGCGGCCGAUAUCAGAUUAGGUAGUUGGUGGGGUAAAGGCUCACCAAGCCAACGAUCUGUAGCUGGUCUGAGAGGACGACCAGCCACACUGGGACUGAGACACGGCCCAGACUCCUACGGGAGGCAGCAGUGGGGAAUUUUGGACAAUGGGCGCAAGCCUGAUCCAGCCAUGCCGCGUGCGGGAAGAAGGCCUUCGGGUUGUAAACCGCUUUUGUCAGGGAAGAAAAGACUCCUGUUAAUACCGGGGGUUCAUGACGGUACCUGAAGAAUAAGCACCGGCUAACUACGUGCCAGCAGCCGCGGUAAUACG
RNAcentral lists this ribosomal RNA (427 nucleotides) under uncultured Roseateles sp. Its description in RNAcentral is "bacterial SSU rRNA". It matches the Rfam family "Bacterial small subunit ribosomal RNA", at positions 104 to 527 of the family's 1533-position model. Lineage: Bacteria; Pseudomonadati; Pseudomonadota; Betaproteobacteria; Burkholderiales; Sphaerotilaceae. The record is from RNAcentral.